GUGCCAGCCGCCGCGGUAAUACGAAGGGGGCUAGCGUUGUUCGGAAUCACUGGGCGUAAAGCGCACGUAGGCGGACUUUUAAGUCAGGGGUGAAAUCCCGGGGCUCAACCUCGGAACUGCCUUUGAUACUGGAAGUCUGGAGUCCGAGAGAGGUGAGUGGAACUCCGAGUGUAGAGGUGAAAUUCGUAGAUAUUCGGAAGAACACCAGUGGCGAAGGCGGCUCACUGGCUCGGUACUGACGCUGAGGUGCGAAAGCGUGGGGAGCAAACAGG
Molecule: ribosomal RNA, 272 nt
Filed under: uncultured bacterium
Lineage: Bacteria
Description: partial 16S ribosomal RNA
Rfam family: Bacterial small subunit ribosomal RNA
Source: RNAcentral